AUUGAACGCUGGCGGCAUGCUUUACACAUGCAAGUCGAACGGUAACAGGCCGCAAGGUGCUGACGAGUGGCGAACGGGUGAGUAAUGCAUCGGAACGUGCCCAGUCGUGGGGGAUAACUACUCGAAAGAGUAGCUAAUACCGCAUACGAUCUAUGGAUGAAAGCGGGGGACCGUAAGGCCUCGCGCGAUUGGAGCGGCCGAUGUCAGAUUAGGUAGUUGGUGGGGUAAAGGCUCACCAAGCCAACGAUCUGUAGCUGGUCUGAGAGGACAACCAGCCACACUGGGACUGAGACACGGCCCAGACUCCUACGGGAGGCAGCAGUGGGGAAUUUUGGACGAUGGGCGCAAGCCUGAUCCAGCAAUGCCGCGUGCAGGAAGAAGGCCUUCGGGUUGUAAACUGCUUUUGUACGGAACGAAACGGCUCUGGUUAAUACCCGGGGCUAAUGACGGUACCGUAAGAAUAAGCACCGGCUAACUACGUG
Molecule: ribosomal RNA, 482 nt
Filed under: uncultured bacterium
Lineage: Bacteria
Description: partial 16S ribosomal RNA
Rfam family: Bacterial small subunit ribosomal RNA
Source: RNAcentral